RNAcentral lists this ribosomal RNA (253 nucleotides) under uncultured bacterium. RNAcentral's name for it is "partial 16S ribosomal RNA". It matches the Rfam family "Bacterial small subunit ribosomal RNA", at positions 524 to 776 of the family's 1533-position model. The record is from RNAcentral.
UACGUAGGGUGCGAGCGUUAAUCGGAAUUACUGGGCGUAAAGCGUGCGCAGGCGGCUUUGCAAGACAGAUGUGAAAUCCCCAGGCUUAACCUGGGAACUGCAUCCGAUACUGGAUGGCUUGAAUCCGGGAGAGGGAUGCAGAAUUCCAGGUGUAGCGGUGAAAUGCGUAGAUAUCUGGAGGAAUACCGGUGGCGAAGGCGGCAUCCUGGACCGGCAUUGACGCUGAUGAGCGAAAGCUAGGGGAGCAAACGGG